AGAGUUUGAUCCUGGCUCAGGACGAACGCUGGCGGCGUGCUUAACACAUGCAAGUCGAGCGAUGAAACUACUUCGGUAGUCAAUUAGCGGCGAACGGGUGAGUAACACGUGAGCAACCUGCCCCUAACUCUGGGAUAACGCUUCGAAAGGAGUGCUAAUACCGGAUAUGAGCCUGGAAGACAUCUUCUGGGUUGGAAAGUUUUUCGGUUAGGGAUGGGCUCGCGGCCUAUCAGCUUGUUGGUGAGGUAAAGGCUCACCAAGGCGACGACGGGUAUCCGGCCUGAGAGGGCGACCGGACACACUGGGACUGAGACACGGCCCAGACUCCUACGGGAGGCAGCAGUGGGGAAUAUUGCGCAAUGGGCGAAAGCCUGACGCAGCGACGCCGCGUGAGGGAUGAAGGUCUUCGGAUUGUAAACCUCUUUCAGCAGGGACGAAGCGAAAGUGACGGUACCUGAAGAAGAAGCACCGGCUAACUAUGUGCCAGCAGCCGCGGUAAUACAUAGGGUGCAAGCGUUGUCCGGAAUUAUUGGGCGUAAAGAGCUCGUAGGUGGUUUGGUACGUCGGGUGUGAAAUUCAGGGGCUCAACCCCUGACCUGCAUUCGAUACGGUCAAGCUAGAGUUUGGUAGGGGAGACUGGAAUUCCUGGUGUAGCGGUGGAAUGCGCAGAUAUCAGGAGGAACACCGAUGGCGAAGGCAGGUCUCUGGGCCAAUACUGACACUGAGGAGCGAAAGCGUGGGGAGCGAACAGGAUUAGAUACC
Molecule: ribosomal RNA, 762 nt
Filed under: uncultured bacterium
Lineage: Bacteria
Description: bacterial SSU rRNA
Rfam family: Bacterial small subunit ribosomal RNA
Source: RNAcentral